UACGUAGGGUGCGAGCGUUGUCCGGAAUUAUUGGGCGUAAAGAGCUCGUAGGCGGUUUGUCACGUCUGCUGUGAAAUCCCGAGGCUCAACCUCGGGCCUGCAGUGGGUACGGGCAGACUGGAGUGCGGUAGGGGAGAAUGGAAUUCCUGGUGUAGCGGUGGAAUGCGCAGAUAUCUGGAAGAACACCGGUGGCGAAGGCGGUCAACUGGCCCUCAACUGACGCUGAGGCACGAAAGCGUGGGGAUCAAACAGG
This 253-nucleotide ribosomal RNA is filed under the name uncultured bacterium. RNAcentral's name for it is "partial 16S ribosomal RNA". It matches the Rfam family "Bacterial small subunit ribosomal RNA", at positions 524 to 776 of the family's 1533-position model. The record is from RNAcentral.